RNAcentral lists this ribosomal RNA (303 nucleotides) under Triticum aestivum (bread wheat). RNAcentral's name for it is "partial small subunit ribosomal RNA". The record is from RNAcentral. Lineage: Eukaryota; Viridiplantae; Streptophyta; Magnoliopsida; Poales; Poaceae.
AUGCUUGCUGGGUGGAGACUGACAGGAGGCUGUAUGAUUGGUGGUGAUGCUGAUGGGAACAAAAUCAGUAAUCAUGAGCUCCAAAUCAGCUCUCUCUCUCUUGCUGUUCCUCACAAGGAAGGAAGGAGGGAGGAUCUAGCUUGCUUGCUUUGGUGCCAUUCAUUCAUUCUCAUUGAUUUUGGUACGUACGUACGUACGUGUGAUCUGUUCCUGUUCUUGGUCCACUCACUGGCUCCCAUAGAUUCAGGGGCCAUUCACUCAUCCAUGUGUCCUGCUCUACAGUCUCUAGUACAGUACGUAUGA